UACGAGAGGCGCAAACGUUAUUCGGAAUUACUGGGCUUAAAGAGUUCGUAGGCGGCGCAGAAAGUAGGGUGUGAAAUCCCUCGGCUCAACCGAGGAACGUCGAUCGAUACUGCUGUUCUUGAGGAUUGCAGAGGAGACUGGAAUUCCCGGUGUAGCGGUGAAAUGUGUAGAGAUCGGGAGGAACACCGGUGGCGAAGGCGGGUCUCUGGGCAAUUCCUGACGCUGAGGCGCGAAAGCGUGGGGAGCAAACGGG
RNAcentral lists this ribosomal RNA (253 nucleotides) under uncultured prokaryote. Its description in RNAcentral is "partial 16S ribosomal RNA". It matches the Rfam family "Bacterial small subunit ribosomal RNA", at positions 524 to 776 of the family's 1533-position model. The record is from RNAcentral.